GCUCAGGAUGAACGCUAGCUACAGGCUUAACACAUGCAAGUCGAGGGGCAGCAUGGUCUUAGCUUGCUAAGGCCGAUGGCGACCGGCGCACGGGUGAGUAACGCGUAUCCAACCUGCCUUACACUCUUGGACAGCCUUCUGAAAGGGAGAUUAAUACAAGAUGUUAUCAUGAGUAAGCAUUUUCGCAUGAUUAAAGGUUUACCGGUGUAAGAUGGGGAUGCGUUCCAUUAGAUAGUAGGCGGGGUAACGGCCCACCUAGUCUUCGAUGGAUAGGGGUUCUGAGAGGAAGGUCCCCCACAUUGGAACUGAGACACGGUCCAAACUCCUACGGGAGGCAGCAGUGAGGAAUAUUGGUCAAUGGACGAGAGUCUGAACCAGCCAAGUAGCGUGAAGGAUGAAGGUUCUAUGGAUUGUAAACUUCUUUUAUACGGGAAUAAACGGAUCCACGUGUGGAUUUUUGCAUGUACCGUAUGAAUAAGGAUCGGCUAACUCCGUGCCAGCAGCCGCGGUAAUACGGAGGAUCCGAGCGUUAUCCGGAUUUAUUGGGUUUAAAGGGAGCGUAGAUGAGUUGUUAAGUCAGUUGUGAAAGUUUGCGGCUCAACCGUAAAAUUGCAAUUGAUACUGGCAGUCUUGAGUACAGUUGAGGUAGGCGGAAUUCGUGGUGUAGCGGUGAAAUGCUUAGAUAUCACGAAGAACUCCGAUUGCGAAGGCGGCUUACUAACCUGUAACUGACAUUGAUGCUCGAAAGUGUGGGUAUCAAACAGGAUUAGAUACCCUGGUAGUCCACACGGUAAACGAUGAAUACUCGCUGUAGGCGAUAUACAGUCUGCGGCCAAGCGAAAGCAUUAAGUAUUCCACCUGGGGAGUACGCCGGCAACGGUGAAACUCAAAGGAAUUGACGGGGGCCCGCACAAGCGGAGGAACAUGUGGUUUAAUUCGAUGAUACGCGAGGAACCUUACCCGGGCUUAAAUUGCAACCGAAUAUGGCGGAAACGCUAUAGCUAGCAAUAGCGGUUGUGAAGGUGCUGCAUGGUUGUCGUCAGCUCGUGCCGUGAGGUGUCGGCUUAAGUGCCAUAACGAGCGCAACCCUUGCCGAUAGUUACUAACAGGUUAUGCUGAGGACUCUGUCGGGACUGCCAUCGUAAGAUGUGAGGAAGGUGGGGAUGACGUCAAAUCAGCACGGCCCUUACGUCCGGGGCUACACACGUGUUACAAUGGGGGGUACAGAGGGCUGCUACCACGCAAGUGGAUGCCAAUCCCAAAAACCUCUCUCAGUUCGGAUUGAAGUCUGCAACCCGACUUCAUGAAGCUGGAUUCGCUAGUAAUCGCGCAUCAGCCACGGCGCGGUGAAUACGUUCCCGGGCCUUGUACACACCGCCCGUCAAGCCAUGGGAGCCGGGGGUACCUGAAGUGCGUAACCGCAAGGAGCGCCCUAGGGUAAAACUGGU
Molecule: ribosomal RNA, 1448 nt
Filed under: uncultured organism
Description: SSU rRNA
Rfam family: Bacterial small subunit ribosomal RNA
Source: RNAcentral